UACAAUGGAGAGUUUGAUCCUGGCUCAGGAUGAACGCUAGCGGCAGGCCUAAUACAUGCAAGUCGAACGGUAACAUGAAUAGCAAUAUUUGAUGACGAGUGGCGCACGGGUGCGUAACGCGUAUGCAACCUACCUUAAACUGGAGAAUAGCCCCGAGAAAUCGGGAUUAAUACUCCAUAGUAUUACGAUUAGACAUCUUUUUGUAAUUAAAGUUCCAACGGUUUAAGAUGGGCAUGCGUGACAUUAGUUUGUUGGUGAGGUAACGGCUCACCAAGACUUCGAUGUCUAGGGGUUCUGAGAGGAUUAUCCCCCACACUGGUACUGAGACACGGAC
Molecule: ribosomal RNA, 334 nt
Filed under: Bacteroidota bacterium
Lineage: Bacteria; Pseudomonadati; Bacteroidota
Description: bacterial SSU rRNA
Rfam family: Bacterial small subunit ribosomal RNA
Source: RNAcentral